Oryza sativa Japonica Group (Japanese rice) is the source of this 829-nucleotide non-coding RNA. NCBI's taxonomy places the organism in Eukaryota, Viridiplantae, Streptophyta, Magnoliopsida, Poales, Poaceae. The record is from RefSeq and is a predicted model, not a curated record.
GGCGCGGUGACGACGACCUCCCCACGGCGAUGACGACCUCGGCGACGACGACGGCGGCGGGUGGUGGCGGCGAGGUCGGGCGCGGCGGAUCCGGCGCGGUGGCGAGCGGCGGCGGCGAGCUCGGUUGCCAUGCACGGCAGGAUGCGGGUUCCGCCGCCGUCUCCGCUCUGGUGCUCUCAGCCAGCCCAGCGACCAGCCUCCCGCUCCCACUCCGGUGCUCCUGGCUGGCCUCCCGCUCCCGCUCCGGCGCUCGUCACCUCGGUUGUUCGUCCCUAGCCCUGCAGCCUUCGCUUCGAUUCCAGCGGAACGCAAUGGCCUUCCCCUGCAGGUAAGGUAAUGAACAGCUGCCUAUGCUUCUCUUCCUCUAGUUGACUAGCGCAUCAGCUCUGUGCCUCUGGUAUCAGAAAUUGGAUUGAAUUUGGUGGGCUCAAAUUUAAUGGGCAUGUUUAGUCUAUCGGGCUCCAACAUUUUAUAUAAACUAUAUUUUUUCUACAUUUCAACAUGUGUGUUCGGCACCCCAUUUCAACUUGUGUAUGCUAUUGGUGCCAUGACUGAAGCUGUAAGUGGAGUGGUUGCUGCAGUUGGUGAACAGGCGAUGAUUGGAAGUUGCCAUCUGUUGUUGCCUUGACUAGAAUGAUUUUGAUGGAUGUAUGUUUGGUAUUACUGAUUAGUGACCUGGUGAUCUGUUGGACUUGUAGGACUUUGGUGGACGUAUUUUGUUGUGAUUCAUUUGUAUGGAUGGUGAAUGUUUAGAACUAUUAUAUGUACAAUUAUAUGGCUGUAUGAACCAUUAAUUUUGGAGGAAAUGAUCUGUUUGGAUGUCUAAUUA